GGGGUUGUGGCUCAGUGGUAGAGUGCUUGCCUAGCAUGUGUGAGGCACUGGGUUCAAUUCUCAGCACCA
Ictidomys tridecemlineatus (thirteen-lined ground squirrel) is the source of this 69-nucleotide non-coding RNA. Lineage: Eukaryota; Metazoa; Chordata; Mammalia; Rodentia; Sciuridae. The record is from Rfam.